GCCUCGCUAGCUCAAUCGGUAGAGCGUGAGACUCUUACAGUACUUGAAGGUUCAUCUCAAGGUUGCGGGUUCGACCCCCGCGUGGGGCU
This 89-nucleotide transfer RNA is filed under the name Tuber borchii (whitish truffle). It matches the Rfam family "tRNA". Rfam says of the family: Transfer RNA (tRNA) molecules are approximately 80 nucleotides in length. Their secondary structure includes four short double-helical elements and three loops (D, anti-codon, and T loops). The record is from Rfam by way of RNAcentral. Lineage: Eukaryota; Fungi; Ascomycota; Pezizomycetes; Pezizales; Tuberaceae.